UGGGUAAUAGCCAAACUGGUAAGGCGCCGGACUCUGAAUCCGCAAUCUGUAGGUUCGAUCCCUACUUACCCAA
RNAcentral lists this transfer RNA (73 nucleotides) under Dellaglioa algida. RNAcentral describes it as "Lactobacillus algidus tRNA-Gln". It matches the Rfam family "tRNA". Rfam says of the family: Transfer RNA (tRNA) molecules are approximately 80 nucleotides in length. Their secondary structure includes four short double-helical elements and three loops (D, anti-codon, and T loops). Further hydrogen bonds mediate the characteristic L-shaped molecular structure. tRNAs have two regions of fundamental functional importance: the anti-codon, which is responsible for specific mRNA codon recognition, and the 3' end, to which the tRNAs corresponding amino acid is attached (by aminoacyl-tRNA synthetases). tRNAs cope with the degeneracy of the genetic code in two manners: having more than one tRNA (with a specific anti-codon) for a particular amino acid; and 'wobble' base-pairing, i.e. permitting non-standard base-pairing at the 3rd anti-codon position. RNAcentral also lists the same sequence under 22 other names. Lineage: Bacteria; Bacillati; Bacillota; Bacilli; Lactobacillales; Lactobacillaceae. The record is from RNAcentral.